AUGUCUCUCCAGACUAACAGGGUCCCUCAGCUUUGGAAAAAAUCUGUCAUUGUUCCUGUCCCCAAAAACAAGGCUGCUCAGUCACUCAACGACUUCAGGCCUGUUGCCCUGACCUCACUAGCAAUGAAGUCAUUUGAAAAAAUUGUUAAGGAGGUCUUCGUAUCUAGAGUUAAGGAUCAUCUGGACCCACUUCAGUUUGCAUAUAGGUCAGGUCGGGGGGUGGAGGAUGCAACAGGAACUCUUUUAAACAUGAUCUUAAAGCACCUUGAGGGAAAGAAAACAUUUGCCAAAUUACUUUUUAUUGACUUCUCAUCGGCUUUUAACUGUAUUCAACUCCAUAUUUUAGCUAAGAGAUUACAUCGUUUUUAUAGUAUCGACUCUGGCUUCAUAGGAUGGCUGAUGGACUUUUUAACUGAAAGGUCUCAGCGGGUAAGGGUCAACAGGGUUUUUUCUGAUGUCCUCUUCUCCUCUACCGGCUCUCCUCAGGGCUGUGUUCUUUCACCCCUUUUAUUUAUUUUAUACACCAAUGACUGUCGCAGCCAGUAUCCACAGCGUCAUAUUUUAAAGUUUGCUGAGGACUCAGUCAUCCUGUCUCUUCUCAGCAGUGAUGACCCUGAUCACGGGCCAGUGGUCAGGGACUUCACUGACUGGUGUGAGUCCUCCUUUUUAAGUAUAAAUGUCUCAAAGACGAAGGAGAUGUCCAUCGAUUUUAGAAAAAACAGUACGGUUACCACACCUGCAGUGAUCUUUGGGGAUAAGGUGGAGGUUGUGAGCCAGUACAAAUAUCUGGGAACCAUACUUGAUGAUAGGCUGACCUUUGAAGCCCAUGUUGACGCACUUUGUAAGAAGGCUCAUCAGCGGAUGUACUUUUAUCGAAAGCUCCGUGGUUUUAAUGUGGAUACUACUUUUAUGAGAAUGUUUUAUGCUUGUUUUAUCGAGUCUUUAUUAACUUUUAAUUUCAUCUGUUGGUUUGGUCUUUUAACAUGUAAAAACAAGAAUAAAAUUUUGGGAAUAGUCAGGGUGUGCAGGAAAAUUGCGGGCACAGCCCUAAAUGACCUCUCCGAGCUGCACAAAGAAAGGUCAGUGACUAAAGCUAGACUGAUCCUGGCAUACCCAGAUCACCCCUUGCACAGUGAGUUCAGGUUGCUUCCUUCCCGACGCAGAUACAUGCACCAGAGAUGUAACACCAACAGAUGGAGAGAUUCAUUUGUCCCUGCAGUGAUCAGGCUUUUAAAUGACAUAUGUUGA
RNAcentral lists this long non-coding RNA (1248 nucleotides) under Sparus aurata (gilthead seabream). RNAcentral describes it as "lncRNA (ENSSAUG00010000165.1)". The record is from RNAcentral. Lineage: Eukaryota; Metazoa; Chordata; Actinopteri; Spariformes; Sparidae.